This 270-nucleotide ribosomal RNA is filed under the name Mycoplasmoides genitalium. Its description in RNAcentral is "Mycoplasma genitalium 23S rRNA". It matches the Rfam family "Bacterial large subunit ribosomal RNA", at positions 1275 to 1555 of the family's 2925-position model. Lineage: Bacteria; Bacillati; Mycoplasmatota; Mycoplasmoidales; Mycoplasmoidaceae. The record is from RNAcentral.
GGAUCCAAUACAAGUGAGAAUGCCGGCGUGAGUAACGUUGGGAGUGAGAAUCUCCCAAACCGAUUGACUAAGGUUUCCUGGACCAGGGUCGUCCUUCCAGGGUUAGUCUGGACCUAAGCUGAGGCUGAAGAGCGUAGAGUGGACAACAGGUUAAUAUUCCUGUACUUACAGUUAGACUGAUGGAGUGACAAAGAAGGUUAUCCACCCCCAUUAUUGGAUUUGGGGAUAAACCAUAAGGUGGUACAAUAGGCAAAUCCGUUGUGCAUAACA